AUUGAACGCUGGCGGCAGGCCUAACACAUGCAAGUCGAACGGUAACAGGAAGCAGCUUGCUGCUUCGCUGACGAGUGGCGGACGGGUGAGUAAUGUCUGGGAAGCUGCCUGAUGGAGGGGGAUAACUACUGGAAACGGUAGCUAAUACCGCAUAAUGUCGCAAGACUAAAGAGGGGGACCUUCGGGCCUCUUGCCAUCGUAUGUGCCCGGCUGGGAUUAGCUUGUUGGUGGGGUUACGGCUCCCCAAGGCGACGAUCCCUAGCUGGUCUGAGAGGAUGACCGGCCACCCUGGAACUGAGACACGGUCCAGACUCCUACGGGAGGCAGCAGUGGGGAAUAUUGCACAAUGGGCGCAAGCCUGAUGCAGCCAUGCCGCGUGUAUGAAGAAGGCCUUCGGGUUGUAAAGUACUUUCAGCGGGGAGGAAGGGAGUAAAGUUAAUACCUUUGCUCAUUGACGUUACCCGCAGAAGAAGCUCCGGCUAACUCCGUG
This 490-nucleotide ribosomal RNA is filed under the name uncultured bacterium. RNAcentral describes it as "partial 16S ribosomal RNA". It matches the Rfam family "Bacterial small subunit ribosomal RNA", at positions 30 to 507 of the family's 1533-position model. The record is from RNAcentral.